This 497-nucleotide ribosomal RNA is filed under the name uncultured bacterium. RNAcentral's name for it is "partial 16S ribosomal RNA". It matches the Rfam family "Bacterial small subunit ribosomal RNA", at positions 28 to 507 of the family's 1533-position model. The record is from RNAcentral.
GAUGAACGCUGGCGGCGUGCCUAAUACAUGCAAGUCGAGCGAACAGACGAGGAGCUUGCUCCUCUGACGUUAGCGGCGGACGGGUGAGUAACACGUGGAUAACCUACCUAUAUGACUGGGAUAACUUCGGGAAACCGGGGCUAAUACCGGAUAAUAUAUUGAACCGCAUGGUUCAAUAGUGAAAGACGGUUUUGCUGUCACUUAUAGAUGGAUCCGCGCCGCAUUAGCUAGUUGGUAAGGUAACGGCUUACCAAGGCAACGAUGCGUAGCCGACCUGAGAGGGUGAUCGGCCACACUGGAACUGAGAAACGGUCCAGACUCCUACGGGAGGCAGCAGUAGGGAAUCUUCCGCAAUGGGCGAAAGCCUGACGGAGCAACGCCGCGUGAGUGAUGAAGGUCUUCGGAUCGUAAAACUCUGUUAUUAGGGAAGAACAAAUGUGUAAGUAACUAUGCACGUCUUGACGGUACCUAAUCAGAAAGCCACGGCUAACUACGUG